CAUUGCAUAACACAGUUAUCCAGUUGUAUACCAGACAUUUUGCCCAGAGGGAUAUUGUGAGAGACAGUAUAAAAAGCUUUGCUGAAGUCCAAAAAGAUUACACCUGCUGGCUUUCCUAGAUCAAGCAGGUAAGUUAACAUGCAGUGACAGGGAUACAGAAGUAAAUGUGAAGGAAGUGCAAGUCAUCUUAACUACAAUACUACAAAAGUAAAAAAAAAAAAAAAAACAAAAAACAAGCAUAACCAAGAAGCAAUUUUAAAGAAUACUUAUCCACAAUAUUUUUCCAUUGCUGUUGAAGAAGAAAGAAAGGAAAAUAAAGGAUAGUUACUGUGAAA
This is a long non-coding RNA of Chiroxiphia lanceolata (lance-tailed manakin), 335 nucleotides long. RefSeq lists it as uncharacterized. The record is from RefSeq and is a predicted model, not a curated record. The transcript is spliced from 2 exons. NCBI's taxonomy places the organism in Eukaryota, Metazoa, Chordata, Aves, Passeriformes, Pipridae.